This is a long non-coding RNA of Drosophila obscura, 772 nucleotides long. RefSeq lists it as uncharacterized. Lineage: Eukaryota; Metazoa; Arthropoda; Insecta; Diptera; Drosophilidae. The transcript has 3 exons. The record is from RefSeq and is a predicted model, not a curated record.
AUUUUCAAAAAUUUCCUAUUUUUCAAUGUCAAAUUAGUUUUAAUCAAAUCUGAUAACUAUAUGAAUUAUAUCGGCACGGAUGAUGAAAGAUGGAAUUGUAGUGGAUCGAAAAUGCAUAUUUCUCUUUGAUGCCAGCUGGGAUGGGCUAAGAUCAAAUUAGCAUAGGAAUAUAACCUCCUCAGGGUUUGUUUGGUGCCAUCUCCAUUUGGCGUCCUUCUGUGGGAUUUCAGUUUCAGCCUCAGUUUGAGGCUUUGGUGAGCCGCCCGUUCGUGCGUCCACAGUCGCCUCUGCCCCACAGCUGUUGCUGUUACCGACGCGACGGAUAGAGGGGAACCGUAGAGAGGCUUUCGUUUAAGCUGACAUAUGGGCGUUAGUGGUAAUUUUUCAGCGGAAUUUAUUGGGAGCGCUUUAAGAAUCAUUAGCCCAGCAUUUUGGAGGGAUCUUCAUUACUUACUAAUAUACGACGUUUUGAAAAAUUGCUUCUGGCCACAACAUUUCUAGGGAGUAGAGCAGGCUUCUCAAUCGCUUGUCACAGGCCGUCGGCUCGCAUUUUUUAAUACAUGAAGAAAUCGAAUUCCACAGCAUUUUAAAAGCAUCACUCAAGUCAAUUCCAAUGGCCUUGGAAGGGUUGUAGGGUUUCGUUUUUACAAAUGAAUUUUCCGACUUGAACGGAUACUCGAGCAAUGUGCCAGCCGACAGCUUUGCCAAAACAUGGCUUCCAUUCCUCGUUUCCUUGUCUCUCUAGUAAAAAUAUUAAAAAAUUCCCACAAAA